Molecule: RNA transcript, 1040 nt
Organism: Anthonomus grandis grandis
Lineage: Eukaryota; Metazoa; Arthropoda; Insecta; Coleoptera; Curculionidae
Exons: 3
Source: RefSeq, a predicted model, not a curated record
UAACAAUAUCAUUCAGUACUUUAAAUGCAAGGAAAACAUAAAAUAAAUGCCUUCUGGUUGAUAAGGAAUUUAAUAAUCAGUUAGGACAAGGUGUCAGAUCAGGUAAGAUCCAGGCCUGACUUCAUAAGAGUAUAUCUAUCAAACCUCAUGAACUUAGAAAGAACUGAAUAUAUAGUGUCUCAAAUGCUGACCCAUUGCUAAAGUCUGCAAGCUCUUUUGAUAAAUCCAAGCAGCUGGCAGUAUGUUCAAAGUGGUGGGAAAAAGCAAGACUUGGAUCCAAAAACACCCAAAUUUUUGAAUCAGGAUGCUUCAAAGGGAUACCAUCACUACAUAUUGACAAGAAGAGGAGACUCUUAAAUAAGUAAACUUUAUAGACCCACAUUUCUCAAUAUGUAAUAACAUUUAAUUUAACUUAUACGAGGAAAACACUGUUUUAGCGAACAGUCAAAACUCAGAUUCCAAUAGGAAGCCAAGGUGAUUGACAAAGAGGCUGAAUGUAGAAUGGUCCUAGGUGGGAACUCUGAAGUUGUUGAAAAUGGAGUGGACGAAAAGUUGCCUCUUAAAAUCUUAAUCUGCUGCUGUCUAUCAGUCAAACAAGACUUCCGAAGUGAAAGAGACGUGGUGCCAAGAAGAAGAAUUUAUGGUUGAUGUUUUCGAAGGAUUUACUAAAGUUCGUGCCUAUCGCACCUGUUUUAUUACAGAUUUGAUACGUCAAACGUCUUGUCAACCAUAGCGACCCACCUGAUGGCCCGACAAAAUGGCGACGGCGAAUCCCAAAUUAUCUCCUUAAAUUUGUCGAAUUUAUUGGUGCUGAUUUUACUAAAAGGGUUAAUAUUUGCCGCGGCCUCCUUGGUAGGAUAUAAGGGACAUUAUGGGGGUCAUUAUGGAAGAAGCUUGGACCCGGAAAACAAGAGUUUGCUCUCGGACGAAGAAAUUGUUAACUUUUUAAGAUAUUUAGCGGGAAAUGAGCAUUGAGGGAAUCUAGGGUGAUGGUUGUUAUGUUUACUUAUGAUUAAUUUUAAUAAAAAUGUUUCUGUUUU